UGAGGGAUGACGGCCUUCGGGUUGUAAACCUCUUUCAGCAGGGAAGAAGCGCAAGUGACGGUACCUGCAGAAGAAGCACCGGCUAACUACGUGCCAGCAGCCGCGGUAAUACGUAGGGUGCGAGCGUUGUCCGGAAUUAUUGGGCGUAAAGAGCUCGUAGGCGGUCUGUCACGUCGGAUGUGAAAGCCCGGGGCUUAACCCCGGGUCUGCAUUCGAUACGGGCAGACUAGAGUGUGGUAGGGGAGAUCGGAAUUCCUGGUGUAGCGGUGAAAUGCGCAGAUAUCAGGAGGAACACCGGUGGCGAAGGCGGAUCUCUGGGCCAUUACUGACGCUGAGGAGCGAAAGCGUGGGGAGCGAACAGGAUUAGAUACCCUGGUAGUCCACGCCGUAAACGUUGGGAACUAGGUGUUGGCGACAUUCCACGUCGUCGGUGCCGCAGCUAACGCAUUAAGUUCCCCGCCUGGGGAGUACGGCCGCAAGGCUAAAACUCAAAGGAAUUGACGGGGGCCCGCACAAGCAGCGGAGCAUGUGGCUUAAUUCGACGCAACGCGAAGAACCUUACCAAGGCUUGACAUACACCGGAAAGCCGUAGAGAUACGGCCCCCCUUGUGGUCGGUGUACAGGUGGUGCAUGG
Molecule: ribosomal RNA, 634 nt
Filed under: Streptomyces fildesensis
Lineage: Bacteria; Bacillati; Actinomycetota; Actinomycetes; Kitasatosporales; Streptomycetaceae
Description: bacterial SSU rRNA
Rfam family: Bacterial small subunit ribosomal RNA
Source: RNAcentral